RNAcentral lists this ribosomal RNA (491 nucleotides) under uncultured bacterium. Its description in RNAcentral is "partial 16S ribosomal RNA". It matches the Rfam family "Bacterial small subunit ribosomal RNA", at positions 29 to 506 of the family's 1533-position model. The record is from RNAcentral.
AGUGAACGCUGGCGGUAGGCCUAACACAUGCAAGUCGAACGGCAGCACAGUAAGAGCUUGCUCUUACGGGUGGCGAGUGGCGGACGGGUGAGGAAUACAUCGGAAUCUACUUUUUCGUGGGGGAUAACGUAGGGAAACUUACGCUAAUACCGCAUACGACCUACGGGUGAAAGCAGGGGAUCUUCGGACCUUGCGCGAUUGAAUGAGCCGAUGUCGGAUUAGCUAGUUGGCGGGGUAAAGGCCCACCAAGGCGACGAUCCGUAGCUGGUCUGAGAGGAUGAUCAGCCACACUGGAACUGAGACACGGUCCAGACUCCUACGGGAGGCAGCAGGGGGGAAUAUUGGACAAUGGGCGCAAGCCUGAUCCAGCCAUACCGCGUGGGUGAAGAAGGCCUGCGGGUUGUAAAGCCCUUUUGUUGGGAAAGAAAAGCAGCAGGUUAAUACCCCGCUGUUCUGACGGUACCCAAAGAAUAAGCACCGGCGAACUUCGG